AGGGUUUGAUCCUGGCUCAGAGUGAACGCUGGCGGCGUGGAUUAGGCAUGCAAGUCGAGCGAUCCUUUUUAUUGAAGGAGAUUGAAGCCUUCGGGCUGAUGUCUUCGGAUAUAAUGUGGAUAGCGGCAAACGGGUGAGUAAUACGUGGGCAACGUACCCUGGGGAGGAGAAUAGCUUCGAGAAAUCGGAGGUAAUACUCCAUACUCCCUUUUUUCUGGAAUGGAGAAAGGGCAAAGAUGGCGGAAGACUUCGGUCUGCUAUCGCCCAAGGAGCGGCUCAUGGCCUAUCAGGUUGUUGGUAGGGUAACGGCCUACCAAGCCAUAGACGGGUAGCUGGCCUGAGAGGGUGGUCAGCCACAUCGGGACUGAGACACUGCCCGGACUCCUACGGGAGGCUGCAGUCGAGAAUCUUUCCCAAUGAGCGAAAGCUUGAGGAUGCGACGCCGCGUGAGGGAUGAAGGCUUUCGGGUUGUAAACCUCUUUUAUCGGGGAGGAAGACCCUUCCUUUAAAUAAGGGGAAGGAGUGACUUUACUCGAUGAAUAAGUCACGGCUAACUCCGUGCCAGCAGCCGCGGUAAUACGGAGGUGGCAAGCGUUACUCGGUUUGACUGGGUGUAAAGGGUCCGCAGGCGGCCUAAUAAGUGAAAGGUGAAAUCUCUCGGCUUAACCGAGAAACUGCUUUUCAAACUGUUAGGCUUGAGGCUGGAAGAGGAGAGCGGAACUGCCAGUGUAAGGGUGAAAUCUGUGGAUAUUGGCAGGAACGUCCGUGGGGAAGCCGGCUCUCUGGUUCAGAUCUGACGCUGAGGGACGAAAGCUAGGGGAGCAAACAGGAUUAGAUACCCUGGUAGUCCUAGCUGUAAACGAUGGGCACUAGGUGUUUGUCCGCAAGGAUGAGUGCCGCAGGUAACCCGAUAAGUGCCCCACCUGGGAACUACGGCCGCAAGGCUAAAACUCAAAGGAAUUGACGGUGGCCCGCACAAGCGGUGGAACACGUGGUUUAAUUCGAUGCUACGCGAGAAACCUUAUCCAGGGCUUGACAUGCAGGAAGUAGUAUCUCGAAAGAGAGUCCGACCGGUAUCCAAUCCGGAACCUGCACAGGUGCUGCAUGGCUGUCGUCAGCUCGUGCCGUGAGGUGUUCCCUUAAGUGGGAGGACGAGCGCAACCCUCGCCCUUUGUUGCUACCCAUUCUUUUAGAAUGGCGCACUCUAAGGGGACUGCCCGCGUUAAGUGGGAGGA
This 1235-nucleotide ribosomal RNA is filed under the name metagenome. RNAcentral's name for it is "bacterial SSU rRNA". It matches the Rfam family "Bacterial small subunit ribosomal RNA", at positions 8 to 1170 of the family's 1533-position model. The record is from RNAcentral.